Molecule: ribosomal RNA, 173 nt
Filed under: uncultured Bellilinea sp.
Lineage: Bacteria; Bacillati; Chloroflexota; Anaerolineae; Anaerolineales; Anaerolineaceae
Description: partial 16S ribosomal RNA
Rfam family: Bacterial small subunit ribosomal RNA
Source: RNAcentral
ACUCCUACGGGAGGCAGCAGUAGGGAAUAUUGGACAAUGGGCGAAAGCCUGAUCCAGCAACGCCGCGUGCGCGAUGACGGCCUUCGGGUUGUAAAGCGCUUUUAGGAGAGAUGAGAAAGGACAGUAUCUCCAGAAUAAGCCUCGGCGAACUACGUGCCAGCAGCCGCGGUAAU